This 513-nucleotide unclassified non-coding RNA is filed under the name Hevea brasiliensis (rubber tree). The record is from RNAcentral. Lineage: Eukaryota; Viridiplantae; Streptophyta; Magnoliopsida; Malpighiales; Euphorbiaceae.
UUGGUUCGGUUUUUCGGUUUAAACUGAAAAAUGCUCUCCCCUGCUUAAUCCUCUCGCAACCCUCAUCCUACUUACAAUUUUGAGCUGUCAUAUCAUUUAUCACCUUUCUACUACACUUUCAUUUCCAAUUUAUCUACUAUUCAAAUACUUAAGACCAUAGCAAAAGCAAUGUCCCACCAUGGUUGGCGCAAGGCUAUGCUUGAGGGAAUGAUUACUCUGCAUGUUAAUGAUACUUGAGAAAUAGUUCCACCCACUACCAAAAGGUAAAACUAUAAUUGGUUGUCACUAUGUGCUUGCAAUUAAGGUAGGUCUUGAUGUAAAGAUAGACUCAAAACAUGCCAUGCUGUAGAAGGGUAUACUUAAGUAUGUGCCUUUUAUUAUGGUGAUGCUUGAGGGAAUGAUUGCUCUUCAUGCUAAUGAUACUUAAGAAAUAGUUCCAAUACCAAAAGGCAAAACUAUAAUUGGCUGUCACUAAGAGUAUAAAAUUAAGGUAGGUCUUGAUGUAAAGAUAGA